RNAcentral lists this ribosomal RNA (498 nucleotides) under uncultured bacterium. RNAcentral's name for it is "bacterial SSU rRNA". It matches the Rfam family "Bacterial small subunit ribosomal RNA", at positions 30 to 504 of the family's 1533-position model. The record is from RNAcentral.
CGAACGCUGGCGGCGUGCUUAACACAUGCAAGUCGUACGAGAAAGCUCCUUCGGGAGUGAGUAAAGUGGCGCACGGGUGAGUAACACGUGGAUCAUCUGCCCUUGAGCGGGGGAUAACAUCUCGAAAGGGGUGCUAAUACCGCAUACGCCGGGGAGGACCCAGGUCUUCCUCGGGAAAGUUGGCCUCUGCUUGCAAGCUAGCGCUCAAGGAGGAGUCCGCGUCCCAUUAGGUUGUUGGUGGGGUAAUGGCCUACCAAGCCCGCGAUGGGUAGCCGGCCUGAGAGGGUGGCCGGCCACACUGGCACUGAGACACGGGCCAGACUCCUACGGGAGGCAGCAGUGAGGAAUUUUGGGCAAUGGGCGCAAGCCUGACCCAGCGACGCCGCGUGGGUGAUGAAGGCCUUCGGGUCGUAAAACCCUGUGAGUUGGGAGGAAGCCUGUCUGGGUUAAUACCCCUGGCAGGUGACAGUACCAGCAGAGGAAGCCCCGGCUAACUAC